GGUCUUGCAGGCGGCAAAUCCCACGCCUAUAUUCCAUCCUGUCCGGGGCAACCCGGACUAUGGACAUAAACGCGCAUGGAAUAAGCGGAUCGGACCCGGGGGCGGUACCCGGCGACUCCACCAGAUCACCCUCGUUGGGGGGCCUUGGGGUCGAAACAGGAUCGACGAACGUCUAAAGAUGUUUGCUUUGUCUCGGUGAGCUACCACCGUUAUCGGUGCAAAAUGUACAGUUGCCAACGACAACCGUGCUCCGGUCGCUCUGGCUGCGUAAGCAGCUCGGGUAACCGAAAACUAAGUCCUUCCGCCUAGCAGCGUAAGGCGGGGCCCGCAGGAGCCUGGCAACAGAAUCCUGCACU
This 356-nucleotide transfer-messenger RNA is filed under the name Paracoccus benzoatiresistens. It matches the Rfam family "Alphaproteobacteria transfer-messenger RNA". From Rfam's summary of the family: Bacterial tmRNA, also known as 10Sa RNA or SsrA, is named for its dual tRNA and mRNA-like properties. Its role is to liberate the mRNA from a stalled ribosome. Lineage: Bacteria; Pseudomonadati; Pseudomonadota; Alphaproteobacteria; Rhodobacterales; Paracoccaceae. The record is from RNAcentral.